AGGAUGAACGCUGGCGGCGUGCCUAAUACAUGCAAGUCGUACGAGGGAAGUCCAGCUUGCUGGACGGAACGAGUGGCGAACGGGUGAGUAAUACGUAAGCAACCUGCCUGCAAGGACUGGGAUAACACCUGGAAACGGGCGCUAAUACCGGAUAGGUAACAAAGGGGCAUCCCUAUGUUAUUAAAGGUUAGAAACACAAGCAGAUGGGCUUACGGUGCAUUAGCUAGUUGGUGAGGUAACGGCCCACCAAGGCGAUGAUGCAUAGCCGGCCUGAGAGGGUGAACGGCCACAUUGGGACUGAGACACGGCCCAGACUCCUACGGGAGGCAGCAGUAGGGAAUUUUCGGCAAUGGACGAAAGUCUGACCGAGCAACGCCGCGUGAGUGAAGAAGGUUUUCGGAUUGUAAAGCUCUGUUGUAAGGGAAGAACAGCACGGAAAGAAUCCGUGAAUGACGGUACCUUACCAGAAAGCCACGGCUAACUACGUGCCAGCAGCGGC
RNAcentral lists this ribosomal RNA (499 nucleotides) under uncultured bacterium. RNAcentral describes it as "bacterial SSU rRNA". It matches the Rfam family "Bacterial small subunit ribosomal RNA", at positions 26 to 518 of the family's 1533-position model. The record is from RNAcentral.